UAGACUACCUGCCACAAUCUCUAGCGGCC
Molecule: non-coding RNA, 29 nt
Filed under: Rattus norvegicus (Norway rat)
Lineage: Eukaryota; Metazoa; Chordata; Mammalia; Rodentia; Muridae
Source: RNAcentral